GGCAGACUGGCCUAAUGGUCAAGGCGUCGGUUUCCGGAUAAUUUCAGUCCGUAGCCGGAGAUUCUGGGUUCGAUCCCCAGGUUUGUCG
Non-coding RNA from Punctularia strigosozonata HHB-11173 SS5, 88 nucleotides. Lineage: Eukaryota; Fungi; Basidiomycota; Agaricomycetes; Corticiales; Punctulariaceae. The record is from Rfam.